AUGAACGCUGGCGGCGUGCCUAAUACCUGCAGGUCGAGCGAACAGACGAGGAGCUUGCUCCUCUGACGUUAGCGGCGGACGGGUGAGUAACACGUGGAUAACCUACCUAUAAGACUGGGAUAACUUCGGGAAACCGGAGCUAAUACCGGAUAAUAUAUUGAACCGCAUGGUUCAAUAGUGAAAGACGGUUUUGCUGUCACUUAUAGAUGGAUCCGCGCCGCAUUAGCUAGUUGGUAAGGUAACGGCUUACCAAGGCAACGAUGCGUAGCCGACCUGAGAGGGUGAUCGGCCACACUGGAACUGAGACACGGUCCAGACUCCUACGGGAGGCAGCAGUAGGGAAUCUUCCGCAAUGGGCGAAAGCUUGACGGAGCAACGCCGCGUGAGUGAUGAAGGUCUUCGGAUCGUAAAACUCUGUUAUUAGGGAAGAACAAAUGUGUAAGUAACUAUGCACGUCUUGACGGUACCUAAUCAGAAAGCCACGGCUAACUACGUG
Molecule: ribosomal RNA, 496 nt
Filed under: uncultured bacterium
Lineage: Bacteria
Description: partial 16S ribosomal RNA
Rfam family: Bacterial small subunit ribosomal RNA
Source: RNAcentral